This 73-nucleotide transfer RNA is filed under the name Rhipicephalus sanguineus (brown dog tick). RNAcentral's name for it is "transfer RNA valine (anticodon CAC)". It matches the Rfam family "tRNA". From Rfam's summary of the family: Transfer RNA (tRNA) molecules are approximately 80 nucleotides in length. The record is from Rfam by way of RNAcentral. Lineage: Eukaryota; Metazoa; Arthropoda; Arachnida; Ixodida; Ixodidae.
GCUCUCGUAGUGUAGUGGUCAUCACGUGCGCUUCACACGCGCAAUGUCCCUGGUUCGAUCGCAGGCGAGAGCA